UUUUGGCGCCUUACUAUACUUUGACGUUUUUUGGCGUCUAACUAUACUUUGACGUCUUACUAUACUUUGACGUUUUUUGACGUCUUACUAUACUUUGAUGUUUUUUGGCGUCUUACUGUACUUUGUCAUUUUUUGACAUCUUACAAUACUUUGACGUUUUUUGACGUCUUACCAUACUUUGAUGUUUUUUGGCGUCUUACUGUACUUUGUCAUUUUUUGACAUCUUACAAUACUUUGACGUUUUUUGACGUCUUAGUUUACCAGGACGUUUUUUGACAUCUUACUAUACAGUACUUUGUAGUUUUUUGACGUCUUAUUAUGACGUUUUUUGACGUCUUAGUUUACCAGGAUGUUUGCUUCGCGUUAGAAAUUCCAAGUUCUGACUACAAACGAAAUGCAGCAUCCUCAAAAUUUUGUUCGCACAAGUGCAUGCUGGUUAAAUUAGUUAACUGUUAGCGUCAUAAGUGGGUUUGCUAACUUGUGCACUAAUACACGUUUCGUGCUAUCUCAUACAUUAAAACUUCCCUCUCUUAACUAGGAAUUUAGCUUGUUAGCAUGCUAACACUUGCUAAUUAUCAAAGUAAGCUCACAUUAGCAAGCAGAAGUUAGCAGUUGUAGCAAACAUGUCGGACAUUAAGACAAAGAUUAAUUCUGUUAAAGUUGUUGUUAUUUCAUUUUCAAAUCCCAAGUCACAACAUCGCUAGUUUGUGUCCGGCUCCCUUUAAACGACGACAAAGUACUUGAAAUGUUUGUGAAAUUCUGAAUUAAAAAACAGGAAAAUACACAGUCAUGUGGAGAUGAGGAAACAUAAAGGAUGAAAAGAGGUGACAAGAUAAGAAAUGAAAAUGUGAUAAAGGAGCGAGAGGGACGAAGAUUUUCUCCAAAAAAAACUUCUUCUUCAGUACAGAAGAGAAUCUGAAGAGAAGAAAAUUUCACCCUGAAACCGCAUCAAUUGUGACUGCCCAAAAAACAGUACCACAACGAUCGCGUGUAAAAAUAAAUUCUGAUUUUUUUUAAUCAAAGUAUCUCAAAUUUUGACUCCCUAAUUUUGAAUGAGCCCAAAAUCCUCUCGUAAACACUGGAUCCUCACGACUUAUUUACGCAAACAUCGCAACCCCUGCGAUAGUGCGUUCACACCGAGCACAAAGUGAUGUCUAAUGUUGCAUUUGCUCUUCGGUAUUUUUUGUUACAACAUUUUUUUGAAGUUUUUUGACAUCUUACUAAACUAAGAUAUUUAUGUUUUUUGUUUUUUUCAGUGUACAUGCAAGUUCUCACACGUAUACUGAAACAAAACGACCAUGACAAAACAAAGAGGAGAUACCCGAAGCUGCCGGAGCGACUGCGCCGUGUUUGCCCUGCCACAGCUCCCCCUGCAGGCGGGAGGCUGCACGACGCCUCAAGAGAGUGGAAGUAAGAAGAUUGGAAGAGCAGAGCAGAGACAUGAGCGGUGCCUUCAGCGCAGGAAGACGAGGAGGACGAUGGACGAGGAGGACAUAAGGAGAAGGCGGGGAGACUGAACUGAAGCUGAGACGACGAGAAGGUUCACUGUAAACGACCGGUGAGGACAUGAGUGACAAGGAGGGGAAGCAGGACCAGUGUGAACCCUGACUGAGUGCAGAGGAGUGAACCAAUGAGGGAAGGGGAGGGGGGUCUGGAGGGAGGGAGGGGCCAACCAGAGUGUUUCCAUGGCGACUGUGUGUCUGCGAUGCCACUCAGGGGCCAGAGGUCGCUCACUCGCCGGUCCAUCUGCCACGCUGCGUCUGCAGGGAGAGCCAAUCAGGAGAGAGAUGCCCAGAAAAGACAACCAAUGAGAGGAGAGGGGGUGGAGACCAGGGAGAGGUCAGGGUCCAGAAAGCAAACGUGCUGAAACAGAAACUGGAUCGUGUUUAUCGGGACUAUCUUCAGCGGCGGAUGGAUUCACCGUCUGUAACUCACACUGCAG
This is a long non-coding RNA of Solea senegalensis (Senegalese sole), 1942 nucleotides long. RefSeq lists it as uncharacterized. The transcript has 5 exons. The record is from RefSeq and is a predicted model, not a curated record. NCBI's taxonomy places the organism in Eukaryota, Metazoa, Chordata, Actinopteri, Pleuronectiformes, Soleidae.